GUCUGGGUCCUGCGCAAUGUGAAACUGUGAACCUCGUCAGGUCCGGAAGGAAGCAGCGAUAAGCGGAUCUUCGCAUGUGCCGCAGAUCAGCCUUUUCCGG
RNAcentral lists this signal recognition particle RNA (100 nucleotides) under Eubacteriales Family XIII. Incertae Sedis bacterium. RNAcentral describes it as "signal recognition particle sRNA small type". It matches the Rfam family "Bacterial small signal recognition particle RNA". Rfam says of the family: The signal recognition particle (SRP) is a universally conserved ribonucleoprotein involved in the co-translational targeting of proteins to membranes. Archaeal SRP consists of a 7S RNA and homologues of the eukaryotic SRP19 and SRP54 proteins. Lineage: Bacteria; Bacillati; Bacillota; Clostridia; Peptostreptococcales; Anaerovoracaceae. The record is from RNAcentral.